Molecule: long non-coding RNA, 409 nt
Organism: Choloepus didactylus (southern two-toed sloth)
Lineage: Eukaryota; Metazoa; Chordata; Mammalia; Pilosa; Megalonychidae
Exons: 4
Source: RefSeq, a predicted model, not a curated record
AGAGCAGAGAAACGCUGUUUUGAGGAACUACGGCUUAAGGCCCAGAAGAUAAAGAAAAUUGAGACCUCACCUAAUUAACGGCAUGUGUACCUCCCUUGGUGGUAUGUGUCACUGCUGUUUUGGGGCUCCAUGUGAGGUGGUGGAGAUGCCAGCUGCUUACUGAUGGGCCCGUGGGGGCUACAAGACAUGAGCCAGCCCUGCUGGAUGCCAAGUCAUCCAGUUAACAAAUGAGUUCGGCAGUCAUAAGCUCUAGAGUGGGAGAUCAUUUGGAGGACCAGCUACAAACAACAGUGUUAUGGUGUCUCCUCCCAAGAACUUCACUUUGCCAGGUUUACGACUUUGUGCACCGUAUGUCAAAUUGGAGAAUGACAUUUGAAUCUGUCUACCUCACCAUGAUUUUAAAAUACCG